UACGUAGGGAGCAAGCGUUGUCCGGAAUCAUUGGGCGUAAAGCGCGCGUAGGUGGCCUCGUAAGUCCGCUGUGAAAGUCAAAGGCUCAACCUUUGAAAGCCGGUGGAUACUGUGAGGCUAGAGUACGGAAGAGGCGAGUGGAAUUCCUGGUGUAGCGGUGGAAUGCGCAGAUAUCAGGAGGAACACCAAUAGCGAAGGCAGCUCGCUGGGACGUAACUGACGCUGAGGAGCGAAAGCGUGGGGAGCGAACAGG
This 253-nucleotide ribosomal RNA is filed under the name uncultured bacterium. Its description in RNAcentral is "partial 16S ribosomal RNA". It matches the Rfam family "Bacterial small subunit ribosomal RNA", at positions 524 to 776 of the family's 1533-position model. The record is from RNAcentral.